Long non-coding RNA from Papaver somniferum (opium poppy), 2040 nucleotides. RefSeq lists it as uncharacterized. NCBI's taxonomy places the organism in Eukaryota, Viridiplantae, Streptophyta, Magnoliopsida, Ranunculales, Papaveraceae. The transcript has 6 exons. The record is from RefSeq and is a predicted model, not a curated record.
UUAUACUGUUUAUUCUUCGUUUUCUCGGCUUAAGCUUAUAAUUUUCUCUCUCCAAAAUCAAAAACCCAAAAAUUCUCUUAGUUUUUAAUCUCCCUAACCGAAACCCAACUUUGAAUCUGAAUGAUUUUUAUUCGACAAAAAAAAUCACCAAUAACAACCAGGUUUCUUCUCAUUAAAAACCCUAAAAAAAACCCGAAAAUAAUUUGAUUUCUCAGUCAAAAUCUUUAACCGAACCUGACUUCAGAUUGAUGCUCCGUAUGUUGUUUUCUGAAUUACCCCAUAAAAGGUUUUCGUAUUCAAAUCAUUUACAAAUUACGAUUUUCUAUCUAAUGAAGGAAAUCAGAAUUUAUCCAAUUGUAACGGUUGAAUUCCAUUAACCUGGCGUGGGUUUUGGUUGUUUGAAGGAUUCGAUGUUUGAGAAUCUAUCUGUAGCUCAAACUAAACUACUCUUAAGAGUUUCUCUCAGAUUUGACAGAAUAUGCUUUUCUCUGCUGACAAUUGGUUCCAUAUCAAAUGGAGUCUGGAUUCUUAACAAGGAUGUUUGAAAGAGGAAAGAGGAUUACCGACCAGUUUAUAUGGCUUUGCUUAGUGUCCCCCUGACAGGACAGGAGUGACUCAAGCAUUAGAUUUUGUCGCUGUUGGUAUGGGAGUUGUAACUGGAACAAGGGUGUUCUGCUAAACCAAUCUUUUGUCUUCAUGACAAAAUUGUUGUGUGAAACUUCUUCCGUAGUUGCAUUCGAUCCAUCGCUGGAUACAGGGCUCAUCCCUUGGUGUUGGUGUUGCACUUAGUUCAUUUUUAUGUGUCUAGGAACUCUAGGUGUUGGUGUUGUUACCUGUUAUUGGAAUUCACUGUAGUGGUGAAGUACCUCAAGCAUCCAGGGAAGUUUUCAUGCCUUGGCGGAAAGCUGCUCAAUUCCCAAGAGAUGUGCAGUUUGGGAGAAUGGCAGGUCUCAUAUUGAAGGGGUACAUUUUUUUAUUAGCAGCAGUUGUAUGGUGAAGAUUACCAUGUUGAGUUGCCUUUUUGAAGCUCUGGCCUAGUGCAAGUCGGGACUAAUGUUAGAGCCUCUAAUUGUUUUGAAAGAUCUCGAAACACUAAUGUUUUACGUUUUUUGUUCUCAGUGGCAGAAGUAAUACUCUAAACUAGCUAGCUGCAUUGGUUAUAAAUGCAUACCCUAUCAGCCACUUAGGACCUGCCAUUCUGCCUCUUUGUGCAGACAGUAGCGUUCGUAGCAUUCAACAAGGUUAUUACAAUCCAAUACUUCGUGUGGUUCUUCUGCUUGUUGCCUUUAAUACUUCCAUGGAGCAGUAUGAAACUGUAGUGGGAAGGGUUGUCAUUACAUUAUAUUGUGAGAUGUGUCAUCGUGCGUGUGCGUUUGAAUCACCUUGAAUACUUUAACAGGCAGUUCAGAUAUCGUCUAACGGUGUUCAUAAAGAACCCUAGGGCAGUAUAAUUCUCUUAAGAUCAACUGUGAAAUAUGUGGGCAUGACACUCUGACUAUAAACAAAACCAGGCUUUGCUAGUAACGAUUGCACUUUAAUUUUGUUAUGCAGGAGGUAUCUGUUAUAGAUGAGAAGCCAAAAGAGGAGAUGCUAAAACUGUAGCCGCCCAAAAUAUGGAAAUGAUCAAUCUAGUCGAUAAGGAGUUAUUUCUGUGUAUAUCGGAUGAUAAGCAUAUUUGGCCGAUCUAAACGUCGCUGGGUAUUUCUGUGUGUUUUACCGCAAGUUGGAAUUCACACGCGUGUACUUAACUGGCUUUUUUAACAGUGAGGCAUUUUUCCAUCUCUUUUGACGUUGGGGAAGUUCUCCAACAUGGCAUCCCGUAUAAGGACAUUUUUUCAAUUUUCCCAAUUUUAUUUUGUUUGGAAUUGGCAUUGCCUCCGUUUUGAUUGGUGUAUUUAAAAAAAGGAAAUAUUUACUUCUUCAUUAUAUAAUUUGGAGUACAUGUCACCUUUUAAACGGACAUACAAUAAGUACAAUUCAUCUUCGUCUUGUAGACCUGGAUGUAUUGAACAUCUUAUUCAGGAUGACAUGAACAGAUCU